RNAcentral lists this unclassified non-coding RNA (376 nucleotides) under uncultured delta proteobacterium. Its description in RNAcentral is "contains 16S-23S intergenic spacer region". Lineage: Bacteria; Deltaproteobacteria. The record is from RNAcentral.
UCUGCCUUAUCGGCAAGCGGUCCCGCCAGAGUGCCCAACUUAAUGCUGGCAACUGACGGCAAGGGUUGCGCUCGUUGCGGGACUUAACCCAACAUCUCACGACACGAGCUGACGACAGCCAUGCAGCACCUGUCACCGCGUCCCGAAGGAACCCCUGGUUUCCCAGGGUAGCGCGGGAUGUCAAGCCCAGGUAAGGUUUUUCGCGUUGCCUCGAAUUAAACCACAUACUCCACCGCUUGUGCGGGCCCCCGUCAAUUUCUUUGAGUUUUAACCUUGCGGCCGUACUCCCCAGGCGGGUCACUUAACGCGUUAACUACGACACAGGGAGGGCAAGAGCUCCCUACAUCUAGUGACCAUCGUUUACGGCGUGGACUAC